GUCAGUUUCAAGGCGUUUUCUCUCUCGAGGGCACAGACCUAGCCCGUGUCCCUUUUCCAGGGAUGUGGUAUGAAGCAGCGGAGCUGAUCCGGGCCUCGAUUGUGGGGUAUCUGACGCUUCCUCAGCCGGACAGGAAGGGCAUCUCCACCUCGCUGGGGAUACUGGCCGACAUCUUCGUGUCCAUGAGCGAGCACGACUACGAGAAGUU
Molecule: RNA transcript, 208 nt
Organism: Myotis brandtii (Brandt's bat)
Lineage: Eukaryota; Metazoa; Chordata; Mammalia; Chiroptera; Vespertilionidae
Exons: 2
Source: RefSeq, a predicted model, not a curated record